RNAcentral lists this ribosomal RNA (253 nucleotides) under uncultured bacterium. Its description in RNAcentral is "partial 16S ribosomal RNA". It matches the Rfam family "Bacterial small subunit ribosomal RNA", at positions 524 to 776 of the family's 1533-position model. The record is from RNAcentral.
UACGUAGGGUGCGAGCGUUAAUCGGAAUUACUGGGCGUAAAGCGUGCGCAGGCGGCGCGUUAAGACAGGUGUGAAAGCCCCGAGCUUAACUUGGGAAUUGCGCUUGUGACUGGCGUGCUGGAGUGUGGCAGAGGGAGGUGGAAUUCCACGUGUAGCAGUGAAAUGCGUAGAGAUGCGGCGGAACACCGAUGGCGAAGGCAGCCCCCUGGGCUGAGAUUGACGCUCAGGCACGAAAGCGUGGGGAGCAAACAGG